RNAcentral lists this long non-coding RNA (990 nucleotides) under Triticum aestivum (bread wheat). Its description in RNAcentral is "long non-coding RNA (TAES_LNC002927)". The record is from RNAcentral. Lineage: Eukaryota; Viridiplantae; Streptophyta; Magnoliopsida; Poales; Poaceae.
UAAAUUUUCCGCAUAACACAGCGAAUGCAAUUUCAUAAGAGGUAGCAAAACCAUGUAAUGCAAAUAGUCUGUGUUUCUUUGGGAUGUAUAGAGCAAAACAAUUCAAUAACCCAAGGGGAAUAUUAUGUUGCAGCGAAUAUAUCAAGCUGAGUUAUAAUGCAUAAAAGGAUGACAGCAGACAAUAGUGAGAUAAGAAGGUAAACAGGGUUUGCCGGGCACUAAUUAUGUUGUAGCACAAAAUACUAAUAAAUAGUAACUCUAAAGAUCCGUUAGGAGCUCGGGAAGGAACUGUAGAUAGCAUACGCCAGCAGAUUAAGCAAAGAGGCACUAUGAUUAUACAGAGAGACUCCAACACCAAACAAUUAGAGGGCGACAUCAAUCACAUACAUGAGAUGGAGGAAGAGAGCACAGACCAUACUUCAAGCAUGUCAUCAGAGAACUAACCAUCUGGAUAGGACAUGAAAAUGCAAUGUUUCCUAUUAUUUGCUUUCAUAGAAACCAUCAACACCAGCAGCUCAAAGAUCUACUUCUACAUAACAAAUUCAGACAAUAAUUAAAAUUGAUCACCAUGGUUACUCAUUUCCUAUUAUUUACUUUCAAUGUGUAACACCAUAUUGAGCAAGACUAAGGUAAAAGCAGGAAAGCUUAAAAUUGAUCACCACAAUUACACAAAAAGGCGUAUUUUUCCUUCUACAGGGAACCAAAUAAAGCUCAAUGUAUGAUAAUUAUUUGUUAUUAUAUAUUUAAUCAGCAAAGUCUUGAGAGAGAGGGGGUCUGACCUAUUGAAGGGGCCAUAGGAGCGAGGGGUGAGGAGAUGCUCGGAAUCGGCAUCGCUAGCCUACAACACCUCAAAGGCUGAAGCCGACCAGGUGGACUCCUGAUGCUCACCUGCCCGCACUUGGUCCUCUUGACUAUGACACUGUAUAGCAGAAACACAUAAACUUGAUCACACAGAGCUUAGAGCAAGUUUCUUGUUGCAAAAUAAGAGAG